AACGAACGCUGGCGGCAUGCCUAACACAUGCAAGUCGAACGAGACCUUCGGGUCUAGUGGCGCACGGGUGCGUAACGCGUGGGAACCUGCACUUAGGUUCGGCCUAACUCUCCGAAAGGGGUGCUAAUACCGGACCAUGUCUUCGGACCAAGGAUUUAUCGACUUUGGAUGGGCAAGCGUUGGAUUAGCUAGUUGGUAGGGUAAAAGCCUACUAAGGCGACGAUCCAUAGCUGGUCUGAGAGGAUGAUCAGCCACACUGGGACUGAGACACGGCCCAGACUCCUACGGGAGGUAGCAGUGGGGAAUAUUGGACAAUGGGCGAAGUCCUGAUCCAGCAAUGCCGCGUGAGUGAUGAAGGCCUGAGGGUUGUAAAGCGCUUGUACCCGUGAUGAUAAUGACAGUACCGGGAGAGUAAGCUCCGGCUAACUCCGUG
This 433-nucleotide ribosomal RNA is filed under the name uncultured bacterium. RNAcentral's name for it is "partial 16S ribosomal RNA". It matches the Rfam family "Bacterial small subunit ribosomal RNA", at positions 29 to 507 of the family's 1533-position model. The record is from RNAcentral.